This is a long non-coding RNA of Marmota monax (woodchuck), 358 nucleotides long. RefSeq lists it as uncharacterized. The record is from RefSeq and is a predicted model, not a curated record. Lineage: Eukaryota; Metazoa; Chordata; Mammalia; Rodentia; Sciuridae. The transcript has 3 exons.
CAGCUGACCAAGGCUGGGCUGACCCACCCUUUCCCCUUCCAGAGCCAAUCUGGCAAAGCUGUGCUGGGGCUGCUCAGGUGUUUCCAGCUCCUCUGACCAGGCUGAGUACCUGCAGGCAGAAACGCAGUUCUGUGCUUUGUACACGCUUGCAAGAGAUUUGGUGUGAUUUCCAUCAUAUAUAGAAGAAGAAACUGAGAACCAGUGUUUUGACCAAAGCUAAUGGGAAUGGCAGAACAGCUUGACCUUCGGUAUGUCUGAUUCCUGUCCCCAGAGGAUAACUGUAUCAUUCCUUUGAGGAACCCUGGAGUCCAAGAGACUUAAGCUCUUGAGUCAUCUGGUACAAAUACCCUCUAAACAU